RNAcentral lists this ribosomal RNA (1398 nucleotides) under metagenome. Its description in RNAcentral is "bacterial LSU rRNA". It matches the Rfam family "Bacterial large subunit ribosomal RNA", at positions 1498 to 2925 of the family's 2925-position model. The record is from RNAcentral.
CCUGAAGUUCCCGUUAAAGCGAGUAGGUAUAUUUUCUAUAGGCAAAUCCGUAGAGAAUGCCGAACGUGAUAGUACUCGGAGGUUUCGGCCAAAGAGAUAGUGACUGUAAUCAAGCUCACGAGAAAAACCUCUAAGUUAUGGUUAUUACAACCCGUACCGUAAACCGACACAGGUAGUCGAGAAGAGUAUUCUAAGGCGCUCGGGUGAGCCACGGAGAAGGAACUAGGCAAAUUGUAGCUGUAACUUCGGGAUAAAGCUAUCCGGCGUAAGCCGGAUUCAAUGAAAUGGUUCAACCAACUGUUUAGCAAAAACACAGGGCCCUGCAAAAUCGAAAGAUGACGUAUAGAGCCUGAUACCUGCCCGGUGCCGGAAGGUUAAGGAAGCUUGUCAGCCGCAAGGCAAAGCUUGCGACCGAAGCCCCGGUAAACGGCGGCCGUAACAAUAACGGUCCUAAGGUAGCGAAAUUCCUUGUCGGGUAAGUUCCGACCUGCACGAAUGGUCUAAUGAGUUGAACGCUGUCUCCUCCGUGAGCCCGGUGAAAUUGUAGUAUCGGUGAAGAUGCCGGUUACCCGCCACGGGACGAAAAGACCCCGUGAACCUUCACUACAACUUUGCAUUGAUUUUGAGUAACAGAUGUGUAGCAUAGUUGGGAGGCUACGAAGCAGGUGCGCCAGCAUUUGUGGAGCCAACGUUGAAAUACCAACCUUCUGUUACUUAGAGUCUAAUCCCGCAAGGGAGACAUUGCAUGGUGGGUAGUUUGACUGGGGUGGUCGCCUCCUAAAGUGUAACGGAGGCUCGCAAAGGUACCCUCAGUACGGUUGGUAAUCGUACGCAGAGCGCAUUAGUAUAAGGGUGCUUGACUGUGAGGCUGACCAGCCAAGCAGGUGCGAAAGCAGGCUAAAGUGGUCCGGUGGUUUCCGAAUGGAAGGGCCAUCGCUCAAAGGAUAAAAGGUACUCCGGGUUAACAGGCUGAUCUCCCCCAAGAGCUCAUAUCGACGGGGAGGUUUGGCACCUCGAUGUCGGUUCGUCACAUCCUGGGGCUGGAGAAGGUCCCAAGGGUUCGGCUGUUCGCCGAUUAAAGUGGCACGUGAACUGGGUUCAGAACGUCGCAAGACAGUUCGGUCUCUAUCUGUGGUGGGCGUUAGUAAAUUGCGAGGACAUGCUCUUAGUACGAGAGGACCGGAGCGUAUGUACCGCUGGUGUAUCUGUUGUUCCGCCAGGGGCAGUGCAGAGUAGCUAUGUACAGACAGGAUAAGCGCUGAAAGCAUCUAAGCGCGAAACCUUCCUCAAGGUGAGUUUACUUUUAAGUGCCGUCAAAGACUAUGACGUUGAUAGGCUAUAGGUGUAAAGGUGGUAACAUCAAAGCCGAGUAGUACUAAUUGCACGUAAGCUUUAAUU